Molecule: ribosomal RNA, 498 nt
Filed under: uncultured bacterium
Lineage: Bacteria
Description: partial 16S ribosomal RNA
Rfam family: Bacterial small subunit ribosomal RNA
Source: RNAcentral
AUUGAACGCUGGCGGCAGGCUUAACACAUGCAAGUCGAGCGGUAACAGGCCUUCGGGUGCUGACGAGCGGCGGACGGGUGAGGAAUGCAUAGGAAUCUGCCUAUUAGUGGGGGAUAACACGGGGAAACUCGUGCUAAUACCGCAUACGUCCUACGGGAGAAAGCGGGGGAUCGUAAGACCUCGCGCUAAUAGAUGAGCCUAUGCCGGAUUAGCUAGUUGGUAGGGUAAAGGCCUACCAAGGCGACGAUCCGUAGCUGGUCUGAGAGGAUGAUCAGCCACAAUGGGACUGAGACACGGCCCAGACUCCUACGGGAGGCAGCAGUGGGGAAUAUUGGACAAUGGGCGCAAGCCUGAUCCAGCCAUGCCGCGUGUGUGAAGAAGGCCUUCGGGUUGUAAAGCACUUUAAGUGGGGAGGAAGGUCAGUAAGUUAAUACCUUAUUGAAUUGACGCUACCCACAGAAUAAGCACCGGCUAACUCUGUGCCAGCCGCCGCCGUAA